AUUGAACGCUGGCGGCAUGCUUUACACAUGCAAGUCGAACGGUAACAGGUUAAGCUGACGAGUGGCGAACGGGUGAGUAAUGCAUCGGAACGUGCCCGGUCGUGGGGGAUAACGCAGCGAAAGCUGCGCUAAUACCGCAUACGAUCUGAGGAUGAAAGCGGGGGACCGUAAGGCCUCGCGCGAUCGGAGCGGCCGAUGUCAGAUUAGGUAGUUGGUGGGGUAAAGGCUCACCAAGCCGACGAUCUGUAGCUGGUCUGAGAGGACGACCAGCCACACUGGGACUGAGACACGGCCCAGACUCCUACGGGAGGCAGCAGUGGGGAAUUUUGGACAAUGGGCGAAAGCCUGAUCCAGCAAUGCCGCGUGCAGGAAGAAGGCCUUCGGGUUGUAAACUGCUUUUGUACGGAGCGAAAAGGCUUCCUCUAAUACAGGGAGCUCAUGACGGUACCGUAAGAAUAAGCACCGGCUAACUACGUG
RNAcentral lists this ribosomal RNA (477 nucleotides) under uncultured bacterium. RNAcentral describes it as "bacterial SSU rRNA". It matches the Rfam family "Bacterial small subunit ribosomal RNA", at positions 30 to 507 of the family's 1533-position model. The record is from RNAcentral.